UGGGGAAUAUUGGGGCAAAUGGGGCGCAAGCCUGACCCAGCAACGCCGCGUGAAGGAAGAAGGCUUUCGGGUUGUAAACUUCUUUUAAGAGGGAAGAGCAGAAGACGGUACCUCUAGAAUAAGCCACGGCUAACUACGUGCCAGCAGCCGCGGUAAUACGUAGGUGGCAAGCGUUGUCCGGAUUUACUGGGUGUAAAGGGCGUGCAGCCGGGUCUGCAAGUCAGAUGUGAAAUCCAUGGGCUCAACCCAUGAACUGCAUUUGAAACUGUAGAUCUUGAGUGUCGGAGGGGCAAUCGGAAUUCCUAGUGUAGC
This 312-nucleotide ribosomal RNA is filed under the name uncultured Oscillibacter sp. RNAcentral describes it as "bacterial SSU rRNA". It matches the Rfam family "Bacterial small subunit ribosomal RNA", at positions 355 to 679 of the family's 1533-position model. Lineage: Bacteria; Bacillati; Bacillota; Clostridia; Eubacteriales; Oscillospiraceae. The record is from RNAcentral.